GAGUUUGAUCAUGGNUCAGGAUGAACGCUAGCGGCAGGCUUAAUACAUGCAAGUCGAGGGGCAGCACGGGUAGCAAUAUCUGGUGGCGACCGGCAAACGGGUGCGGAACACGUACAGAACCUUCCUUUAAGCGGGGGAUAGCCCAUAGAAAUGUGGAUUAAUACCCCAUAGUAUAUUUUGAUGGCAUCAUUAGGAUAUUAAAGAUUUAUCACUUAAAGAUGGCUGUGCGUAUGAUUAGGUAGUUGGUAGGGUAACGGCCUACCAAGCCAACGAUCAUUAACUGGUGUGAGAGCACGACCAGUCACACGGGCACUGAGACACGGGCCCGACUCCUACGGGAGGCAGCAGUAAGGAAUAUUGGUCAAUGGACGGAAGUCUGAACCAGCCAUGCCGCGUGAAGGAUGAAGGCCCUCUGGGUUGUAAACUUCUUUUAUAGGGGAAGAAAUGCAUUUUUUCUAAAGUGUUUGACGGUACCCUAGGAAUAAGCACCGGCUAACUCCGUGCCAGCAGCCGCGGUAAUACGGAGGGUGCAAGCGUUAUCCGGAUUCACUGGGUUUAAAGGGUGCGUANGUGGGCUUGUAAGUCAGUGGUGAAAUCUCCGGGCUUAACCCGGAAACUGCCNUUGAUACUAUA
Molecule: ribosomal RNA, 633 nt
Filed under: uncultured Chitinophagaceae bacterium
Lineage: Bacteria; Pseudomonadati; Bacteroidota; Chitinophagia; Chitinophagales; Chitinophagaceae
Description: bacterial SSU rRNA
Rfam family: Bacterial small subunit ribosomal RNA
Source: RNAcentral